GGUCCCGCGCUAACCGGGUCCCGCGCUAACCCGGCCCCGCGCCGCGGGUGCCCCGCCGGGCCCGCGCGCCAAGGUCGCGAGUCUCCACGCCGCGCUUGACCUGGCGGCAGCACCGUACUUGACAGCGUAUUGUCGCCAACACCACCCCACCAGCAUCCCGGCCGAGCGCUGCUCCCGCAAACUUUCUAGACGAAAAACUUCUAGAAGUAGAUCAUUAUUAACCCCGUUUUACAGAAGACGAAACUGAGGCUUAAAGUUAAGAACUGGAUGAGGGCAUUUAGGUAAAAAACACCCAGCUGGGAAGAGGCCAACCUGGAAUUUGAGAUCAACAGGCAAAGACGAGUUCCCACUGCUCAGAUGCCAGCCCACUGCCCAGGUUUCCAGGAAAGAGCUGGCUCCUGUCCUCCAGCACCUGCCACCUGCCUGUCCCAGAGGCCAAUCGGGCUUCCUGGAGACUCGCUGGGGUCAGUCCUUGCCUCCACCAGGAAGUUCUUCUCUGGAUCACCCCACUGCUCUCGGAACCUUGAGGGAUCUCAGUUCCCCAACCAGGGAUUGAACCCAGGCCCCGGCAGUGAAAGCCCGGAUCCUAACCACUAGGUCACCAGGGAACUCCCAGGGAUUAAUUUUUAAGUGUGGGCCUCAUCCAAUCAGCUGAAGGCCUGAAUUGAACUAAAAGACUGGCCUCUCCAGGCAAGAGGAAAUUCUCUAGCAACUGUCUUUGGACUUUCAUCUGCACCAUCGGCUCUCCUGAAUCUCCAGCCUGCUGGCUCACACUGCAGAUUUUGGACUUACAGCUUCCAUAGCCAUGUGAGCCAAUUCUUUUUAAUAAAUCUUUUUCUAUAUACACAUAAACUGGUUCUGUUUCUUUGGAGAACCCUGACUAAUACAGAUAAGAACAGGCAUUUCACAGAAGAAAUACAUAUGCAGAAUAAACAUACACAAAAAUGCUCAGCUUCCCUAGAGAUCAAGGAAAUGCAGAUAAAACAACCAUGAAAUAUCUUCCGUCAUUAGAAUGGCAAAAAUUUUUUGAACUGGCAUAUCCAAUGUUAGUGAGUAUAUGGGCAAUAAGUUCCCCCAAAUACUGAGCCUGGGAGUGUAAAUUGGAAAAAUGUUAAGGCAAUUUGGUAUUAACAUUUCAACAUACCAGCAAUGUUACUUUCAGGAAUUUAUCCCCCAUAUGUGCACUCAGAGACAUGUUCAGAAAUAUUCGUUGCCUAAUUAUUUGUAACUGCAAAAAUUGGAAACACAUAAAAGUCCAUUAAAUGAGACUGGUUAAGGGAAUUCCCUGGUGGUCCAGUGGUUAGGACUCUGAGCUUCCAUUGCAGGGGG
This is a long non-coding RNA of Physeter macrocephalus (sperm whale), 1329 nucleotides long. RefSeq lists it as uncharacterized. The record is from RefSeq and is a predicted model, not a curated record. The transcript has 5 exons. Lineage: Eukaryota; Metazoa; Chordata; Mammalia; Artiodactyla; Physeteridae.